AUUGAACGCUGGCGGCAGGCCUAACACAUGCAAGUCGAGCGGAUGAAGGGAGCUUGCUCCUGGAUUCAGCGGCGGACGGGUGAGUAAUGCCUAGGAAUCUGCCUGGUAGUGGGGGAUAACGUCCGGAAACGGGCGCUGAUACCGCAUACGUCCUGAGGGAGAAAGUGGGGGAUCUUCGGAUCUCACGCUAUCAGAUGAGCCUAGGUCGGAUUAGCUAGUUGGUGGGGUAAAGGCCUACCAAGGCGACGAUCCGUAACUGGUCUGAGAGGAUGAUCGGUCACACUGGAACGGAGACACGGUCCAGACUCCUACGGGAGGCAGCAGUGGGGAAUAUUGGACGAUGGGCGAAAGCCUGAUCCAGCCAUGCCGCGUGUGUGAAGAAGGUCUUCGGAUUGUAAAGCACUUUAAGUUGGGAGGAAGGGCAGUAAGUUAAUACCUUGCUGUUUUGACGUUACCAACAGAAUAAGCACCGGCUAACUUCGUG
This 484-nucleotide ribosomal RNA is filed under the name uncultured bacterium. RNAcentral describes it as "partial 16S ribosomal RNA". It matches the Rfam family "Bacterial small subunit ribosomal RNA", at positions 30 to 507 of the family's 1533-position model. The record is from RNAcentral.